Molecule: long non-coding RNA, 960 nt
Organism: Pseudopipra pipra
Lineage: Eukaryota; Metazoa; Chordata; Aves; Passeriformes; Pipridae
Exons: 2
Source: RefSeq, a predicted model, not a curated record
CCUUGACUUUGUCAACGGUGACCUUUGUGAGACCAAAUUGGCUGGAAUCUGGACCAUCUCCCGAGGGAAGGAGGGAUUCUGAAAUGAUUCCAUGCAUUUGCUUCAGCAGGAUGGCACAGACUCAGCACUGCAGCAGCACACUGUCCAGUUUGAACUCUGUGUACUCGUAGUAGGGAUCUGAGCGGAAUAUGGUAUUUUGUUUUCUUUUUUGUGUCAGAAGACAGAAGGGUCUGAAGCGCUCCUGUUGUCCGCUGUUCUCGACAGGUGCCAAUCGUCCGUCUGGAUCCAUUUGACUUACAACGUAUCUGGUGACUUUUUUAAACAUUCUGCUGUGUGUGGAUGAAGUUUUGCAGCCAAGCCAAGUGGAUUUGUGCCUUGGGAAAGAGGCAAGGCAAGUUAAGCCAAAUUAUUUGAAAUAAGAGCAGGAAAUAUCAAGCAAUCACCCCAGGCCAGCCCCUUGGGCUUAGGCUGGUGCUCUGCAGGGGAGAGCUGGUGUCUGAGAGCCAGAAACAAAGCCCUGUUUCCUGAGGCAGCUUGUUUUUCACCAAAAAAAAGUUUCAGUUUCACUUUUCUGGUGUGUUGGGGGAGGGAAAACCAGGGAAUGCCAGACUGGUUUGGGUUGGAAGAGACCUUAAAGCCCAUCCAGUUCCAUCCCCUGCCAUGGGCAGUGUGAUAUAUAAAUAAUUGUGAUUCGUGGAACAAAUGGGUGAUUACAUCAAAAUAAAACAAACGGAUUGUAAAACUUAAUUACACCCCCAUAAAGAAAUAAAACAGACCCUCACAAGGUCAAGAGGCCUAAAACCUCCUUACUAUCCUAAGGAUAAAAUAUAGUAGAACUUUAAAUCUUUAGACGCCUGUUCGUCCAAGAAUGCAUGAAUUAUGACUGGUUGUAGAGAUAACCCUUUUAGCUUUAGCUGUAAGAAAACCCAUAUAUUAAAUACUUAGCAAAAACCUGUAGAA